Molecule: non-coding RNA, 28 nt
Filed under: Bombyx mori (domestic silkworm)
Lineage: Eukaryota; Metazoa; Arthropoda; Insecta; Lepidoptera; Bombycidae
Source: RNAcentral
UCUCUUGCUCGUCGGCGGUCCAUAGCCU